This 492-nucleotide ribosomal RNA is filed under the name uncultured bacterium. RNAcentral's name for it is "partial 16S ribosomal RNA". It matches the Rfam family "Bacterial small subunit ribosomal RNA", at positions 29 to 507 of the family's 1533-position model. The record is from RNAcentral.
AGUGAACGCUGGCGGUAGGCCUAACACAUGCAAGUCGAACGGCAGCACAGUAAGAGCUUGCUCUUACGGGUGGCGAGUGGCGGACGGGUGAGGAAUACAUCGGAAUCUACUUUUUCGUGGGGGAUAACGUAGGGAAACUUACGCUAAUACCGCAUACGACCUACGGGUGAAAGCAGGGGAUCUUCGGACCUUGCGCGAUUGAAUGAGCCGAUGUCGGAUUAGCUAGUUGGGGGGGUAAAGGCCCACCAAGGCGACGAUCCGUAGCUGGUCUGAGAGGAUGAUCAGCCACACUGGAACUGAGACACGGUCCAGACUCCUACGGGAGGCAGCAGUGGGGAAUAUUGGACAAUGGGCGCAAGCCUGAUCCAGCCGUACCGCGUGGGUGAAGAAGGCCUUCGGGUUGUAAAGCCCUUUUGUUGGGAAAGAAAAGCAGCAGGUUAAUACCCCGCUGUUCUGACGGUACCCAAAGAAUAAGCACCGGCUAACUUCGUG